CGGGGUGAGGAACGCGUGACCAACCUGCCCUAGAGUGGGGAUACCAGCCAGAAAUGGCUGCUAAUACCGCAUACGACCUGUUGCUGUCGGGUGACAGGGGAAAGCCUUCGGGCGCUUAUGGAGGGGGUCGCGUCGGAUUAGCUAGUUGGUGGGGUAACGGCCUACCAAGGCGACGAUCCGUAGCUGGUCUGAGAGGACGGCCAGCCACACUGGGACUGAGAUACGGCCCAG
This 231-nucleotide ribosomal RNA is filed under the name uncultured bacterium. Its description in RNAcentral is "partial 16S ribosomal RNA". It matches the Rfam family "Bacterial small subunit ribosomal RNA", at positions 104 to 334 of the family's 1533-position model. The record is from RNAcentral.